This 400-nucleotide ribosomal RNA is filed under the name uncultured bacterium. RNAcentral's name for it is "bacterial SSU rRNA". It matches the Rfam family "Bacterial small subunit ribosomal RNA", at positions 355 to 772 of the family's 1533-position model. The record is from RNAcentral.
UGAGGAAUAUUGCACAAUGGAGGAAACUCUGAUGCAGCAACGCCGCGUGGAGGAUGACGCAUUUCGGUGUGUAAACUCCUUUUAAGAGGGAAGAUUAUGACGGUACCUCUUGAAUAAGCACCGGCUAACUCCGUGCCAGCAGCCGCGGUAAUACGGGGGGUGCAAGCGUUACUCGGAAUCACUGGGCGUAAAGGGUGCGUAGGCUGACUUUUAAGUCAGGCGUGAAAUCCAAUGGCUCAACCAUUGAACUGCGCUUGAAACUGGGAGUCUAGAGUUCAGAAGGGGCAGAUGGAAUUAGUGGUGUAGGGGUAAAAUCCGUAGAUAUCACUAGGAAUAUCAAAAGCGAAGGCGAUCUGCUGGGAUGAUACUGACGCUGAGGCACGAAAGCGUGGGGAGCAAA